CCUACGGGUGGCAGCAGUGAGGAAUAUUGGUCAAUGGCCGGAAGGCUGAACCAGCCAAGCCGCGUGAAGGACGAAUGUGCCAAGCGUUGUAAACUUCUUUUGUCAAGGGACAAAAUCAGGCUCGAGAGCCUGACCGAGGGUACUUGAAGAAUAAGCAUCGGCUAACUCCGUGCCAGCAGCCGCGGUAAUACGGAGGAUGCGAGCGUUAUCCGGAUUUAUUGGGUUUAAAGGGAGCGUAGGGGGACUGUUAAGUCAGCGGUAAAAGUUUGGGGCUCAACCCCGGCGAGCCGUUGAAACUGGCUGUCUUGAGAUGUCGAGAGGUAUGCGGAAUGCGUAGUGUAGCGGUGAAAUGCUUAGAUAUUGCGAAGAACUCCGAUUGCGAAGGCAGCAUACCGGCGGCGCUCUGACGUUGAGGCACGAAAGCGUGGGUAUCGAACAGGAUUAGAUACCCUAGUAGUC
Molecule: ribosomal RNA, 459 nt
Filed under: uncultured bacterium
Lineage: Bacteria
Description: partial 16S ribosomal RNA
Rfam family: Bacterial small subunit ribosomal RNA
Source: RNAcentral